GGAGCUGGCCUUUAACCAUCCCUUUCCCACCAAACAGUCUUUCCAGGUUAAGCAGUAAUUCACCUCCAGUUCUUCCAACCUCGCCCAUCUAGCAUUUGAUAUUCACAGCGUGGUCUCUUCUGCACUGGAGAAAGCAAACACGGGUCGGGUAACUGCUUUGUGGAACACCUUGAUCCAGUUUGCAGAUGGAUGUGAUUGCUCUACAGAGAAGGUUCACCAGAACAUUGCCUGGUAUGGAGUGUUUCAAUCACAAAGUGAAACUGGAAAGGGUGGGUCUGCUUUCCUUGCAACAGAGGAGGGUUCAAUGCUUCACGCUGAUGGUAUGGGCUCUAUUUGCAAUUAAUAGG
Molecule: long non-coding RNA, 347 nt
Organism: Mobula hypostoma (lesser devil ray)
Lineage: Eukaryota; Metazoa; Chordata; Chondrichthyes; Myliobatiformes; Myliobatidae
Exons: 3
Source: RefSeq, a predicted model, not a curated record